GAAUAUUGGACAAUGGGCGCAAGCCUGAUCCAGCCAUACCGCGUGGGUGAAGAAGGCCUUCGGGUUGUAAAGCCCUCUUGUUGGGAAAGAAAAGCAGUCGGCUAAUACCCGGUUGUUCUCACGGUACCCAAAGAAUAAGCCCCGGCCAACCUUGUGCCCGACGCCGCGGUAAUACUAAGGUGGCAAGCUGUACUCGGAAUUACUGGGCGUAAAGCGUGCGUAGGUGGUUGUUUAAGUCUGUUGUGAAAGCCCUGGGCGCAACCUGGGAAUUGCAGUGGAUACUGGGCGACUAGAGUGUGGUAGAGGGUAGUGGAAUUCCCGGUGUAGCAGUGAAAUGCGUAGAGAUCGGGAGGAACAUCCAUGGCGAAGGCAGCUACCUGGACCAACACUGACACUGAGGCACGAAAGCGUGGGGAGCAAACAGG
RNAcentral lists this ribosomal RNA (425 nucleotides) under uncultured bacterium. RNAcentral describes it as "partial 16S ribosomal RNA". It matches the Rfam family "Bacterial small subunit ribosomal RNA", at positions 359 to 776 of the family's 1533-position model. The record is from RNAcentral.